Molecule: ribosomal RNA, 295 nt
Filed under: Escherichia coli
Lineage: Bacteria; Pseudomonadati; Pseudomonadota; Gammaproteobacteria; Enterobacterales; Enterobacteriaceae
Also listed under: 2 other names
Description: partial 16S ribosomal RNA
Rfam family: Bacterial small subunit ribosomal RNA
Source: RNAcentral
AAAUUGAAGAGUUUGAUCAUGGCUCAGAUUGAACGCUGGCGGCAGGCCUAACACAUGCAAGUCGAACGGUAACAGGAAACAGCUUGCUGUUUCGCUGACGAGUGGCGGACGGGUGAGUAAUGUCUGGGAAACUGCCUGAUGGAGGGGGAUAACUACUGGAAACGGUAGCUAAUACCGCAUAACGUCGCAAGACCAAAGAGGGGGACCUUCGGGCCUCUUGCCAUCGGAUGUGCCCAGAUGGGAUUAGCUAGUAGGUGGGGUAACGGCUCACCUAGGCGACGAUCCCUAGCUGGUC